GGAUUAGAUACCCCGGUAGUCCAUGCCGUAAACGUUGGGCACUAGGUGUGGGGCUCAUUCCACGAGUUCCGUGCCGCAGCUAACUCAUUAAGUGCCCCGCCUGGGGAGUACGGCCGCAAGGCUAAAACUCAAAGGAAUUGACGGGGGCCCGCACAAGCGGCGGAGCAUGCGGAUUAAUUCGAUGCAACGCGAAGAACCUUACCAAGGCUUGACAUAUACCGGAAUCAUUUCAGAGAUGGGUGCGCCGCAAGGUCGGUAUACAGGUGGUGCAUGGUUGUCGUCAGCUCGUGUCGUGAGAUGUUGGGUUAAGUCCCGCAACGAGCGCAACCC
RNAcentral lists this ribosomal RNA (330 nucleotides) under uncultured bacterium. RNAcentral describes it as "bacterial SSU rRNA". It matches the Rfam family "Bacterial small subunit ribosomal RNA", at positions 775 to 1104 of the family's 1533-position model. The record is from RNAcentral.